Molecule: ribosomal RNA, 227 nt
Filed under: uncultured bacterium
Lineage: Bacteria
Description: partial 16S ribosomal RNA
Rfam family: Bacterial small subunit ribosomal RNA
Source: RNAcentral
CGGGUGAGUAAUGUCUGGGAAACUGCCUGAUGGAGGGGGAUAACUGCUGGAAACGGUAGCUAAUACCGCAUAACGUCGCAAGACCAAAGAGGGGGACCUUCGGGCCUCUUGCCAUCGGAUGUGCCCAGAUGGGAUUAGCUAGUAGGUGGGGUAACGGCUCACCUAGGCGCGAUCCCUAGCUGGUCUGAGAGGAUGACCAGCCACACUGGAACUGAGACACGGUCCAG